RNAcentral lists this ribosomal RNA (349 nucleotides) under uncultured bacterium. RNAcentral's name for it is "partial 16S ribosomal RNA". It matches the Rfam family "Bacterial small subunit ribosomal RNA", at positions 338 to 704 of the family's 1533-position model. The record is from RNAcentral.
CCUACGGGAGGCAGCAGUGGGGAAUAUUGCACAAUGGGGGAAACCCUGAUGCAGCGACGCCGCGUGAGUGAAGAAGUAUCUCGGUAUGUAAAGCUCUAUCAGCAGGGAAGAAAAUGACGGUACCUGACUAAGAAGCCCCGGCUAACGACGGGCCAGCAGCCGCGGUAAUACGUAGGGGGCAAGCGUUAUCCGGAUUUACGGGGUGUAAAGGGAGCGUAGCCGGCGCGGCAAGGCCGGAGUGAAAGCCCAUGGCUUAACCAUGGUACUGCUCUGGAAAAGGUGGAGCUUGAGUGCGGGAGGGGCCGGCCGCCUUCCUCGUGUCGCGGUGCACUGCGUAGUUCUUCGGAGG